AGUGAACGCUGGCGGUAGGCCUAACACAUGCAAGUCGAACGGCAGCACAGGAGAGCUUGCUCUCUGGGUGGCGAGUGGCGGACGGGUGAGGAAUACAUCGGAAUCUACUUUUUCGUGGGGGAUAACGUAGGGAAACUUACGCUAAUACCGCAUACGACCUACGGGUGAAAGCAGGGGACCUUCGGGCCUUGCGCGAUUGAAUGAGCCGAUGUCGGAUUAGCUAGUUGGCGGGGUAAAGGCCCACCAAGGCGACGAUCCGUAGCUGGUCUGAGAGGAUGAUAAGCCACACUGGAACUGGGACACGGUCCAGACUCCUACGGGAGGCAGCAGUGGGGAAUAUUGGACAAUGGGCGCAAGCCUGAUCCAGCCAUACCGCGUGGGUGAAGAAGGCCUUCGGGUUGUAAGGCCCUUUUGUUGGGAAAGAAAUCCAGCUGGCUAAUACCCGGUUGGGAUGACGGUACCCAAAGAAUAAGCACCGGCUAACUUCGUGCCAGCCGCCGCAGUAA
This 506-nucleotide ribosomal RNA is filed under the name uncultured bacterium. Its description in RNAcentral is "partial 16S ribosomal RNA". It matches the Rfam family "Bacterial small subunit ribosomal RNA", at positions 29 to 523 of the family's 1533-position model. The record is from RNAcentral.